ACCCAUGUGUCUAUGGGGCCUUCCGACGGUAGCAGUCUCCCUUCCUAGGCAUGGAAUAGCAGGUCCUUGUGAUUGGCAAAGCUGUACUGUUCCGUUGGUAGCAGAUUCUGACUUGCACAAGGGACAUCU
Small nucleolar RNA from Suncus etruscus (white-toothed pygmy shrew), 129 nucleotides. RefSeq annotates it as small nucleolar RNA SNORA24. The transcript has a single exon. NCBI's taxonomy places the organism in Eukaryota, Metazoa, Chordata, Mammalia, Eulipotyphla, Soricidae. The record is from RefSeq and is a predicted model, not a curated record.